RNAcentral lists this transfer RNA (72 nucleotides) under Ictidomys tridecemlineatus (thirteen-lined ground squirrel). Its description in RNAcentral is "Spermophilus tridecemlineatus (thirteen-lined ground squirrel) tRNA". It matches the Rfam family "tRNA". Rfam says of the family: Transfer RNA (tRNA) molecules are approximately 80 nucleotides in length. Their secondary structure includes four short double-helical elements and three loops (D, anti-codon, and T loops). Lineage: Eukaryota; Metazoa; Chordata; Mammalia; Rodentia; Sciuridae. The record is from Rfam by way of RNAcentral.
UGGGCUGUAGCUCAGUGGCAGAGCGCUUGCCUCGCAUGUGUGAGGCACUGGGUUCGAUCCUUAGCACCACAU